Molecule: long non-coding RNA, 1427 nt
Filed under: Equus caballus (horse)
Lineage: Eukaryota; Metazoa; Chordata; Mammalia; Perissodactyla; Equidae
Description: lncRNA (ENSECAG00000053500.1)
Source: RNAcentral
GGGGAUUGGCCGGUUGGCCGUUGGGCGGGGAUAAAAGCCCACGUCGCCAGGGCCUGUGCUUGACAGAGUCUUGGCGCCCAGAGAAGGCCUUCCAGCUCCUGCUCCUUCUGCUGGUUCCUUCCAGGAGCGCUUUAAAGCUGACUCUGCUGAAGUGACCACUCUGACCCACAGCUCCUCUUCUGAGCUCAGGCACGGACUUCUCAUCCAUAUGUACCUUCUCUACCCUUGGGAAAGCCAAAGAAAAAGAGAAACACCAAGCUGAACCCCACUGGGUUCGGACGGAAACACCAAAAUUCCAGUGCUGGUGGAGUAGCAACGACAGGAAGUGCAUCACGAGAAUGAACAACAUCGUGAGCUCAGUGAUCCCAGUAUUAUGGGAAACCUCAGAAAGCUUCGGGAACUCUGGCUGACAAAGAAAAUAGAAGUGAGGGCGUGAAGUGCUAUCGGCAUGUUUGCAGAACACCAGAGUGAAAAAGACAGCCUCAGAAGGGGCAGGUGCCAGGUAUUUCUCAUAGUCGGUCUUUUACAGUGUUGAAAACGAUACAGACUUCUUCCCAAGCCGAAGGAAAAUGGAGGGUCAGGUGGGCAGGGGCUGGAUGAACCUUGAGGAGCCUGAAUCAUGAGGGGUGCUCACUUCAUGUGUCACAAGCCAGAGAGGAAAAUGUAGGUGGAAUCCUGGACCAAAAAAAUCAGAGCCCUAAUGAGCACCGUUGUCAGAGGUCCUGAGUCUGCAAAAGGAGGAGAAAAAGAAAAGUAUGCUGCCCACUCGGCCUCACUUAGUGCAUUUUCUUCUCCUUCAAACUGGAUGAAUGAACAUGCUCUUCCUUGAAUAGAGAAGAAAACUGUACAGUCCUCAAAGCGCCCGGAGGCGGGCAGCUCUACCCAAGCCUGCCCUUGCCGCUGUCUGCUGGUGCCUGCUGGCUGGGAAGGGGCCAGUGUUUGUCCCUGCGAUGAAAUCCCCGAAUGUGGUUCUAACAACCUGUGCAGGAGCACAUCUUUCAAAUGCAAAUCGUUCCCGAGCCCAUACUCCCAACCACCUUCUUUCCUUGGCUCUUACACUCCAGGCCACCUGCCCUCAUCACUCCACUGCCUACACCCUGGAGCCCCCUGAAAUGAUUCAAACUUGCCAAUCUUAAACCUGUUUUCCCUGCCUCACCUGUUCUGUCCCAUGGAAACCACAACAAAGGCUCUUGCCCACAUUUUUCCUCCCUCCCUCUGCCUUCUGACCCACCUGCUGCUUCCUCUGUUCUCUGUCCCAUCCCCCCCCCCCCCCCCCCCCCCCACACAUCCCCUUCUCUUGGAAACUGUAAAUAAUGAGCUAUCCUUUCACUGGCAAUCAUCUCCCGAUCUGUUGACCUCACUAUAUGUGAAUAAUAAUAAAACCUACAUUUUAAAACAUGAUCUAGAUAUUAGUCACUGGCCACAUU